This 389-nucleotide ribosomal RNA is filed under the name uncultured bacterium. Its description in RNAcentral is "partial 16S ribosomal RNA". It matches the Rfam family "Bacterial small subunit ribosomal RNA", at positions 355 to 735 of the family's 1533-position model. The record is from RNAcentral.
UGGGGAAUAUUGCACAAUGGGCGCAAGCCUGAUGCAGCCAUGCCGCGUGUGUGAAGAAGGCCUUCGGGUUGUAAAGCACUUUCAGCGAGGAGGAAGGGUAGUGUGUUAAUAGCACAUUGCAUUGACGUUACUCGCAGAAGAAGCACCGGCUAACUCCGUGCCAGCAGCCGCGGUAAUACGGAGGGUGCAAGCGUUAAUCGGAAUUACUGGGCGUAAAGCGCACGCAGGCGGUUUGUUAAGUCAGAUGUGAAAUCCCCGCGCUUAACGUGGGAACUGCAUUUGAAACUGGCAAGCUAGAGUCUUGUAGAGGGGGGUAGAAUUCCAGGUGUAGCGGUGAAAUGCGUAGAGAUCUGGAGGAAUACCGGUGGCGAAGGCGGCCCCCCUGGACA